GACGAACCGUGCGAACGUUGUUCGGAAUCACUGGGCUUAAAGGGCGCGUAGGCGGGCUGCCAAGUCCGUGGUGAAAUCCCCCGGCUCAACCGGGGAAUGGCCUCGGAUACUGGCGGUCUCGAGGGAGGUAGGGGCGUGCGGAACUGUAGGUGGAGCGGUGAAAUGCGUUGAUAUCUACAGGAACUCCGGUGGCGAAGGCGGCACGCUGGACCUCUUCUGACGCUGAGGCGCGAAAGCCAGGGGAGCGAAC
RNAcentral lists this ribosomal RNA (250 nucleotides) under uncultured bacterium. RNAcentral describes it as "partial 16S ribosomal RNA". It matches the Rfam family "Bacterial small subunit ribosomal RNA", at positions 524 to 773 of the family's 1533-position model. The record is from RNAcentral.